Molecule: long non-coding RNA, 304 nt
Filed under: Bos taurus (domestic cattle)
Lineage: Eukaryota; Metazoa; Chordata; Mammalia; Artiodactyla; Bovidae
Description: long non-coding RNA NONBTAT011101
Source: RNAcentral
GAUAAAAUGUAGGUAUAAAAGAAAGAACUGCUUGGCAUAGAUUACUCAGGUACAGCUGAGGUUUCUCUGGCCAUGAUAAACCUUGUUUACAUCAGGAAUGGAAGGUGGUACAAUGGGAAUCUUUUUUUCUAGAGGCCAAGAUUUGAACAAAUGACUUCUAAAAGUCCCUUAAGCCUCUGCAAUUCAUGGUGAUAUAGUAGAUUGGUGAGCUUUCCUUUCAAGUCUAUCUAAACCCAUAAAUGAUUUUGAGAUCAGAGAGACUCCUUUUAACUGGACAGCUUUAUUCUCUCUUGGUCCUUGCAUU